Molecule: long non-coding RNA, 374 nt
Organism: Cygnus olor (mute swan)
Lineage: Eukaryota; Metazoa; Chordata; Aves; Anseriformes; Anatidae
Exons: 2
Source: RefSeq, a predicted model, not a curated record
AACUAUGCGAGCGUGUAUCUGUUUGUAAGUAGCUUGUUUGUAUAAAACCCAACAAUAACGUAAUAGGGGGCAAGAUGGUCAUCGCAACCACGCUCUUUCGCACCGCCAGGCUUUCUUUAAAACGCCCUGUGCCGGGGGGAACGCUUUUUUGCCAGGCACGCCCGAGGAAGCCAGGAGCUGAAGGAAGGAAUGGGACAGUCCCGCCUCCGACCCCACAGCGGCCUGCGGAGGAGAUGCAACAACAUUGGCGAAAUUUUUGUUUUAACACUGGAAGAUUUCAUGGGAUUGCCCAGGGUCAGCAGAAGAUGCACAGGCUUAUUUGCUGAGGCAACACAUGGAGUAUGAAUGAAGCACCUUCCAGUUACUGUAUGUUC